Molecule: long non-coding RNA, 2649 nt
Organism: Microcebus murinus (gray mouse lemur)
Lineage: Eukaryota; Metazoa; Chordata; Mammalia; Primates; Cheirogaleidae
Source: RefSeq, a predicted model, not a curated record
GCUGGGGACGUAGUCACACCUGAGCAUGGGGUGGCUGGUCCCGGGAGACUCCUGCAUGUAGCGCAGCUUCAGCAGCUCGGCCAGUUAACAAUCAUUUAUUGAGCAUCUACUACAUGCCAAGCACUGCCCUGAGAGCUGAGACCAAUGAAGAAUGAACAGGAACUUUCAUCCUGCACAAGCUUGGGAUGACUGGGAAGACGAGACAUGCAAAUGCACACAAGUACGGCAAGCUGGUUUUAGGCGGAGUCAAAGGACCAGAGGUGGGAGACGCUCCUGGGCCAUGGUUCUCGGAAGUCCAGAUGGAGCCCGCACACAAGAGCAGCCCUCUACGGCUCAAUACCUUUGAGGACAGGAAGGUCACGCCACAAAAAGGCACCUCUCCUACUCCUCGUGACUUUUAAAGGGGGCCUCAGUCUGCCUGCCUGUCAGCACCGGCUCCGCCUGCUGGAGGGACUCCCAUCUACCCGUCUCUAAGCACUUCUCAGGCGGGCACUGCGCGCUAGGGCUUCCGACAGCUGUAGAAGGUGGGCACCAGGAGCCCCUCGCAACAGUUCAACACAUCUGGGGGAGAUGGGCGGUCCGAAUCCACAUGCCUAGUGCUGGCAGUACCAGGACCCAACCCAGACCACCACUGCUCCCCGUGGCUGCCACAGCUCCUGCCACAGUUUCAUCUCCUGACACUCUACCAUCGCGUCCAUUGCUCAUCUCUCCCAGGGUUUCUUUGGCUAAACCUGUCACCAAUCCAUCUCCACUCCACUUCUGGCCCCUCAGCAGCCCCUCCAGGGACCUGUCCCCAAUGGCACGGGUUUUCCAACCCCGCCAUGCCUCACACCUGUGCUCAGAAGGUUCAAGGAGAAUUUAAUGGGAGAAGCAGUUGGACACUUUCCCUCCUUAGGAGUCUGUGCAGACCUCAGCUGUCACUUCCGAUGGGCCCUGGGUCUGAGAUCCUGCUGUCCUGGCCUGCCUUCCUCACAUGGUCUGCUAGGCUGUCAGAGGAGCACUCACACUUGUCAGGCACUGAUCAGAUGCCCUGUGACAUGUGCUGUCACAAGGUUGGUCCUGUCAGCUCCUGCAGACAAGAAAACUGCCACAGAGAGGUCAAGCUGAUGGCACGGUGACAGAGCAGGACAGGAGUGAGCACAUUCACUCAUCACAGGAUGCCCCAUGGCUGGUUCAUCUUACAAUUCUGGCACUGGGCAGUAUCUAGCACUUAGCAACCCUCAAUAUGGGGCAAAUGACCACUCAGUGAUCCAACCCUCUCAUUUUCUUAGAGUGGAGAAGUGACUUGUCCAGGUGCCCACUGAGAAGGAGCCAGUGUAGGGCUGGCCCCAGAACUCAGACCUCUUCUCCUCCGCACGGGGCCCACAUGCUGCCCACCUGCCAGCUAUCCGCCACUGCACCCUCCCAGACAUCAACUGAUCGUGGCCAGUCCUUAUAGCUCAGCCCAGCACAGCCCCCAGAACCCUUCUUAGCAAAGCACUCCAGCCAACUGCCCCUUCUAGAGAUGGAAAUUCAGGAAAAACCCCUGGAAAAGGCAAGCCCCUCCCAAGCUUAGGCUUGGAUGAGCCUUUUACACUGACAUGUUGAUGAGCCUUCCCUAGUUGUGUCAUUUAGAUGCUCUACUUUGUAAGAGAAAAAACAAAGUCAAAGGUCAAGGGUUGGGGUGAGGGGAGUUGGAGAACAGAGGGGUGUGUGUAAGGGAUACCAAGUCAUCCUUCCACAAGAACAGCAGGGAAAACAAUCUGGAAAAACCUUCCCUGUUGGGACAGACUAGUUAAACCUGAGAGCACAGAGGUAGGUGGCAUCAGUGCUGAGGGACAGUGUCCUGGGAGGGACCCUGAACCCACCAAACCUCAGAGUUCAGAGGCAGAGGCAAGGACAGGACAACAUCCCAUAAUGCCAUGGACCGCCUCUCCAGGCAUCUCCCUAACACUCCAUCCCAAGUCCCCACCUCAGCACACCCCCAGCCCCAGCCCUGUGCUUCCCAACCCACCCUCAAGGUCACUCAAGCAAAAGACCAAGGACUUCUAGGCACAGUCUCCCUCCCUUCCUCUGUGUCACUAAACUGCUCCCUUGGUAUUCUUACAACACAGGAAGGAUGCUACUACUACAACUCUCAUCUUCCAAUUAGCAAAGCUGUGGUCACCUGCCUGUCUCCUCUCCUGCACUAUGAACUCUUCCAGAGCAGUGGCCUUGCUCAGGUACCUGCAGCUGGCACCCAGCCCUAUCAGCACAGCCUGGAGUGGAUUCUCAAUAAAUUAUUCAAUCCAGGAUUUGGAAAUCACAUUUGUUAACCCCAGCACCAUGACCCCAGGUAAAGCCUAACGCAGGAAUGGUUAUGAAGGUCGAUAUGGAAGUUAUAACUUCCAGGACACAGAAGACUAGAGAGACAGUGACCUCAUUGAUAUUAGGGACUCAUGAAAAGAUUAAGUCAGAAAAGUAAAACAAACAGUUGCUGGUUGCAGGGUGGAGAAAAUACCUUUGUCCUUUCUUUUUGGGAAGUAUAUAGCCUGUCAGUGUCAGAAGAGACUUUGAUGAUCACCUACCUGGGCACCUUUGUUUUACAAAUGAGCAAUGCAAACUGGUGGCUCAAGAGCCUGUAAUCCUGGCACUCUGGGAGGCCUAGGAGGGAGAAUUGCUAGAGCUCAG